GACGUAGGGGGCACGCGUUGUCCGGAUUCAUUGGGCGUAAAGAGCUCGUAGGCGGCUUGGCAAGUCGGAUGUGAAAUCUCCAGGCUCAACCUGGAGUCGCCAUCCGAUACUGCUAUGGCUAGAUUCCGGUAGAGGAUCGUGGAAUUCCUGGUGUAGUGGUGAAAUGCGCAGAUAUCAGGAGGAACACCGAUGGCGAAGGCAGCGAUCUGGGCCGGCACUGACGCUGAGGAGCGAAAGCGUGGGGAGCGAACAGG
This 254-nucleotide ribosomal RNA is filed under the name uncultured bacterium. RNAcentral describes it as "partial 16S ribosomal RNA". It matches the Rfam family "Bacterial small subunit ribosomal RNA", at positions 524 to 776 of the family's 1533-position model. The record is from RNAcentral.